GCAGCAGCCGCGGGAAUACAGAGGGUGCGAGCGUUAAUCGGAUUUACUGGGCGUAAAGCGUGCGUAGGCGGCUAAUUGAGUCGGAUGUGAAAUCCCCGAGCUUUACUUGGGAAUUGCAUUCGAUACUGGUUAGCUAGAGUGUGGGAGAGGAUGGUAGAAUUCCAGGUGUAGCGGUGAAAUGCGUAGAGAUCUGGAGGAAUACCGAUGGCGAAGGCAGCCAUCUGGCCUAACACUGACGCUGAGGUACGAAAGCAUGGGGAGCAAACAGGAUUAGAGACCCCAGUAGUCCCUGUCUCUUAUAC
RNAcentral lists this ribosomal RNA (302 nucleotides) under uncultured bacterium. Its description in RNAcentral is "partial 16S ribosomal RNA". It matches the Rfam family "Bacterial small subunit ribosomal RNA", at positions 508 to 807 of the family's 1533-position model. The record is from RNAcentral.